Molecule: transfer RNA, 65 nt
Filed under: Anoplophora chinensis
Lineage: Eukaryota; Metazoa; Arthropoda; Insecta; Coleoptera; Cerambycidae
Description: tRNA-Pro
Source: RNAcentral
CAAGAAAUAGUUUAAUAAAAUAUUAAUUUUGGAGAUUAAAGUUAAGGAAGAAUCCUUUUUCUUAA